This 790-nucleotide long non-coding RNA is filed under the name Salmo salar (Atlantic salmon). RNAcentral describes it as "lncRNA (ENSSSAG00000112183.1)". Lineage: Eukaryota; Metazoa; Chordata; Actinopteri; Salmoniformes; Salmonidae. The record is from RNAcentral.
GCAUAAUGAACGCUAAGUACUUGGUGUUAUUUGGACAUAAAUUAUGAACUUUGUCAAAAGAAACCACAUUUGUUCCGGACCUGGAAUGCCUUCCGGACCUGGGAUCCUGCCUUCUGAUGGAGAUAAUCAAAGAGCAUACAACCAUGCCGACAACCAUCCGUGAAGAUCAGUGGACAAAGGGCUGGACAACGGGACACACCGAAAAAAACUCAUGGUUGCCAAUUUCACCUUUAUCAUACACAGGCUCGCCUCAGGGGAGAGACGGACGCCAAGAAUCACAAUAUAUCUAAUCUAUCUAGUGAGGCAGAGCCUUGGGGGAUGCUAUCUCUCUGCAGUGUGUCAUAGAGUUAUAGUGAUGAUCCAUGGAGCUGUAGGCAGGCUGGAUGCUCUGCCGUUUGACAUAUAUGGAUGUGGCAAACUCUUACCUAAAGACUUCAGCUGUCACUUACUCUAAACUUUGACACCAUGUUCAGUUCUUCAAACCCACUCCUCCUUUCACUGCAACAACUGUCCUUAUGGAUAUGGAAGAACUCAUCAGCUCAAUCAGACUACUAGUCAGAACUCAGUAGAGUCAACUGAGGAUGUGCACACAUCACAAUACCCUGUGCAAGUGAUGCAUUCAUACACUACAUCAUACUUCCGUGUGUAUCUCCCUGAACUUUUCAAUGGGCUUGACGAUUAUAUCAUUAAAUUCAUUAAAUGCUUUCAUUAUGUUUUUGCGUUGAAGACCAUUGUGCCACGUUUUUGUCCAUUGAAGAGCAUUCAAAAAGCCUACAAAUUCAAAAACGAC